This 869-nucleotide ribosomal RNA is filed under the name Hymenochaete pseudoadusta. RNAcentral's name for it is "eukaryotic LSU rRNA". It matches the Rfam family "Eukaryotic large subunit ribosomal RNA", at positions 66 to 915 of the family's 3401-position model. Lineage: Eukaryota; Fungi; Basidiomycota; Agaricomycetes; Hymenochaetales; Hymenochaetaceae. The record is from RNAcentral.
UAACAAGGAUUCCCUUAGUAACUGCGAGUGAACCGGGAUAAGCUCAAAUUUAAAAUCUGGCGGUUCUGCCGUCCGAGUUGUAAUCUGGAGAAGCGUUUUCCGCGUCGGACCGUGUACAAGUCUCUUGGAAUAGAGCGUCAUAGAGGGUGAGAAUCCCGUCCAUGACACGGACUCCCGAUGCUUUGUGAUACGCUCUCAAAGAGUCGAGUUGUUUGGGAAUGCAGCUCAAAAUGGGUGGUAAAUUCCAUCUAAAGCUAAAUAUUGGCGAGAGACCGAUAGCGAACAAGUACCGUGAGGGAAAGAUGAAAAGCACUUUGGAAAGAGAGUUAAACAGUACGUGAAAUUGUUGAAAGGGAAACGCUUGAAGUCAGUCGCGUCGUACGGAGCUCAGCCUUGCUUCUGCUUGGUGUAUUCUCCGUGUCGAUGGGUCAACAUCAAUUUUGACCGGUGGAAAAGGGCCUAGGGAAUGUAGCGUUGUUUCGGUGACGUGUUAUAGCCUUAGGUCGUAUGCAUCGGUUGGGAUUGAGGACCGCAGCACGCCCUUGUGGCCGGGGGUUCGCCCUACGUUCGUGCUUAGGAUGUUGGCAAAAUGGCUUUAAGCGACCCGUCUUGAAACACGGACCAAGGAGUCUAACAUGCCUGCGAGUGUUCGGGUGGAAAACCCUUGCGCGUAAUGAAAGUGAAAGUUGGGAUCCUUCGUAAGGGGGUGCACCGACGCCCGGCCCUGAAGUUCUCUGACGGUGCUGCGGUAGAGCAUGUAUGUUGGGACCCGAAAGAUGGUGAACUAUGCCUGAAUAGGGUGAAGCCAGAGGAAACUCUGGUGGAGGCUCGUAGCGAUUCUGACGUGCAAAUCGAUCGUCAAAUUUGGG